Molecule: long non-coding RNA, 275 nt
Filed under: Phoenix dactylifera (date palm)
Lineage: Eukaryota; Viridiplantae; Streptophyta; Magnoliopsida; Arecales; Arecaceae
Description: long non-coding RNA (PDAC_LNC019981)
Source: RNAcentral
CGAUAGAGCGAUGGUCACCCCUUACUUAGUGAUAUCUAAAGCUUAGUGGCUGAUUGCAGCUCGUUUCAGGUGGCUUAUAUAUUUAGAGAGGCGAACACGGUAGCAGACUGAGUUGCCUCUUUUGCUGUCACCACUCGAAGGAGGUUUUGUGGGCAAAGACAAAUUCUGCUUUUUUACCUUUACGUAUUUUUAUUUUCUCUAACACUAUUGGUAGAACUCAUGCACGGUUGACGUGAGCUACCAUAAUACUAAAAAAAUAAAAAUAAUAAUAAAAA